Long non-coding RNA from Daphnia magna, 712 nucleotides. RefSeq lists it as uncharacterized. The transcript is spliced from 2 exons. The record is from RefSeq and is a predicted model, not a curated record. Lineage: Eukaryota; Metazoa; Arthropoda; Branchiopoda; Diplostraca; Daphniidae.
CCCCGCGUGCGACGCCCGGUUGCUCCGUCUGCGCAGUUGGAGCUCCCACCAACAACCUAAAGCCAAUCGACACUGUGAGAUACUGUGUGCACGUGUUCAGACAAGAUUCUGCAAGGAUUGGGACAAAAUAAUUUCCCCCCUUUUUUUUGUGUUUGGUGUCCUUGGAAAAUUCAAAGUAGCCACCAUAAACGACGCAAAACAAGAGAAGGGGUAUACCAAAACAAGAGGACGGGGUAAGGAAAAUCAUCAAAACUUGUUUCCCAACUAAAAAGUCCUUGACCGUUUCUGUCCUUGACUGGGAAAAACAAAACAAAAAGGAAAACAUGGGCUCAUUUAAAUAUUGAAAUUUCAAUUUUCAGAAGCUUAAUUGCUGCAAAACAAUGUGGUAUACAACUGCAUCAGGAAAAGGAGCAGAAAAUCACUUGAAGAAAAGACAAAUCAUAAACCACAACUGCAAUUUUCAAACCGACUGAAACUCAUUCAGAGCUGACGAAAUUAUUUUGAAUAGCACAGGUAGUCGGGAACUCUAAUUAGUAUUUCUUUUUCUCACUCGUAUUGUCUCCGGAUGCGGUUUCCCUUCCCCCUUUUUAUUCGUGAGCUAUGAAUGUCUGCGGUUUUACCUGUUCCUGGUCUAAGCCCAGUAAACUUGACCACCCAAUCCUUUUCACACUUGCCUUUAAAAAAAAAAUUAAUAAAUACAAUGUGGACAGAG